This 420-nucleotide ribosomal RNA is filed under the name uncultured archaeon. RNAcentral describes it as "partial 16S ribosomal RNA". It matches the Rfam family "Archaeal small subunit ribosomal RNA", at positions 323 to 746 of the family's 1478-position model. The record is from RNAcentral.
CUACGGGCGGCACCAGUUAAGAAUAAUCUACAAUGCACGCAAGUGUGAUAGUUUGAGCCAGAGUGAGUUUCAAUGAAACUCUUUUGUGAAAUGUAAAAAGUUUUACGAAUAAGGACUGGGUAAGACUAGUGCCAGCCGCCGCGGUAAUACUAGCGGUCCAAGUCGCAGCCAUUUUUAUUGGGUCUAAAACAUCCGUAGCUUGCUUUGUAAGUUUCUUGUGAAGUCUGAGGUCUUAAACCUCAGGCGGGCAAGAAGUACUGCAAAGCUAGAGACUGGAAGACGUAAGAAGUACGCUCGGAGUAGCGGUUAAAUGUGUUAAUCCCGGGCGGACUAACGACAGCGAAGGCAUCUUACGAGGACAGUUCUGACAGUAAGGGAUGAAGGCUAGGGGCGCAAAACGGAUUAGAUACCCCAGUAGUC